Molecule: non-coding RNA, 1063 nt
Organism: Maylandia zebra (zebra mbuna)
Lineage: Eukaryota; Metazoa; Chordata; Actinopteri; Cichliformes; Cichlidae
Source: RefSeq, a predicted model, not a curated record
UCCGCGUCCACGGCGCGCGCUCCAGCGCGAAACCACUUAACUUCCUGAACCAGAUUGGCUUCGUUGCCUUUUCUCGGUUACUAAACAGUAGUGAGGAUGUGGCCUGAGCAGAGAGCCCAAUGUGCUGUGAGGAGUCCCGCGUGUCACGUUCGUGGGAUCUUUCUGCUUCUCCUGCUUGUCAUGGUUCAGAUGAUAAUCUCCUUGGUGCCUUUUGAUGGUGUGUUCAUUCGCUCUGAUAAAGUCCUCAUCAGCCCCUACAGAUUCUGUCAGAUCCAACAAACUGGUGAAUGGUCCUGUGAUAAUGUGUAUAAGAGUCACCUGUACGAGCGAUCGCAAUCCCAAGGAGCUGAAGCUGAGACUUUAUCUAAGCCACAUUCUAACUCUGUCAGAGUAGCGGUUUACCUAGCUGUGUAUGUUCCAGUGAUUAUUGUGGCGUUUGCCCUGAUGGGCAUGCAUUCAGUCAUCUCUGACAAAGACGAACCUGCUAUCUUUUGCAGCACGACUUUCCAGGUCGGAGCAGCCUUGCUCACCCUGGCUGGCCUUUUCAGUUUUUUGUUUGUCUAUCAGUCAUAUGUGAGCUGGCAAAACAUAACCGUUUGGUUCUAUAUCUAUUUGGGUGUGGUGAUAGAGCUGGCUAUCACAUCUGUACUGACCCAUGUGUUAGGUAAGCGACUGAGAUCAUACUGGGAAUGCAGCGAAAUGCUUAAGCUCAUCCCUGCUUAAAUGCAAACAUGAGCCACUUUGCAGUUUAAAUAAAGCGAUUAAUGUUGUGAUCAUAUCACAAAGACCUUUGAGUGGUCAGUAAAACUAGAAAAGUACUAUAUUAAUGCAAUUACACAUAAAUCUACUUAGGAGAAUAUGUUGAUUGCUGGUGCUGCAAUAUCACUUUGUAUCUCUUUACCAAGUGGUUUAUGAAAGCCAACACACAUAAUGUAUAACACAACAAAAAAUAUGGUCUGUUGAGUCUGAAAUGCACAGCUGGUGGAUGCAUGAGUGGUACCCUAAUUGUGCUGACAGUUAUUUCUAUAUAAGCUGUAAGGAAUAAAGAAUAUAUGUAUUUUUU